This is a long non-coding RNA of Lagopus muta (rock ptarmigan), 3316 nucleotides long. RefSeq lists it as uncharacterized. The record is from RefSeq and is a predicted model, not a curated record. Lineage: Eukaryota; Metazoa; Chordata; Aves; Galliformes; Phasianidae. The transcript has 4 exons.
CCGUCGGCCGCACCGCGCCGGGAUGGCCGCCGCCCGCCGCCUGCCGCCGCCGCCUCCUCCUCCCCUCAACGCCGCCCGGGCUGCUCCGCCGCCGCUCCGCUCCGCGCUGCCCGCAGCCAGCGGCCCCCGCCCGCCCCUCUCGCGAGACUUCGCCGCCCUCCUCCCUCCUUCCUUCCCUCCGCGGGAGGAGCGGCGGGAGGAGGCCGGGGCGGGGCCGGGCUGUGAGGGGGGACGGCGUGAGGGGACGGCGAGGCCUCGGGUCCCUCGUGCUGAGAUUACAGCUGGAGGAAUUCUAAACAGUCCGAGUCUCCUUGUCGUGGUGUUCAAGUGCAUUGUGCUCCUGUCUGAACAGAGGAAAUCGCUGAGUGGCAUCGUUUGGUUUCUGCAGCCUACGGAGCGGUGAGGAGUGAUCUGCCCAUGCGGCCCUAAAGUGGAAUUAAGGAUCGAGACCUUCUGAAUCUUGGUCUUGUACUUCUCCUGCAGCCGAGGUGCGUUUGAAGCUCACGGAUUAUGAGGGUGAAAGCUUGGGUCAGUGAGGUACAUAGAGCUGCCCUAACAGAGAGUUUGGGCUCCCUUCAUUACGCACGUAAAAAAAAGAUAACGGUACCUCUAAGUAAAAAGCCUUGGGGUGUAGUGGUAGCUGCUGGAAAAAAUGUGGGUAAUGCCUUGGUAUGAACUGUCAGGUCGUUUGUUUAACGCAAUAGAUUUGGGUUUGAUAUGUGCUCAUUGACCACUUCAAAAGUAAACAGUUUUGUCUGUGUCCCACCAGCAUGGAAGAAGUCUACAGACAUCGUUAAGUAGCAGGCCUAUAAAAAUGGCACUGUUUGUUGUUGCCAGCUGAACUGGGCAUGUCUGACAGGGCUGCCUAGGCCUGACCUAUCAGGCAUGCUCUUACUGCCUUGUCAGCCAAUUGCAGUGGGCAUCUGGGAUGUUACAUCAGCUUAGCUCAGUUUGCAAACUUACUGAUGCAAAUUUAGCUUUUGUUUUAAGGAACUAAACCAGUUUAUGUAUGCCUGCAUCUUGGAUCUGCACCGGUGUAGCCAUCAGGUAGCUGUAUGCAUUAGCACCAUCUGAAGGAGGUGCUAGGACAUCAGUAAAUAGAAAUUACAAAUUGCACGGCGGUUCAGCUGACAGGCAGAACUGGUUUCAGUGCGUUGUUGCAGUGUGCUGCUGCAGACCUGGGCUGGGGGUAGACCCAGACAGCAUUGCAGUGCAGACAGGACCUGUGUGCAUCAGCACUGCCUGAUAUUGUAGGAGAGGAAGUCGUGAACAAUACCGUGUCCAGCGGAAGCUGUGGCAAGAAUUUAUCCAAGGCUCGUUGUAAUUACUCAAGCUGGGAAUUUGGCCAGUGCAUUGGGGUUGACACCCCUACUUCUUUAGGAGCGUCAUGGUUUAUUUUUUUAAAUGACUUUAAGUGAUGAGAAGCUUGGCUGUCUGUCUCAGCAGAACAGCAAUGCCUCUUGCAGUAUAAACUUCUUACAACACUAAGGAGCUGCUUCAGAACUAACUGGGAGUGAUGGGGCCUGGCUCAGUAAUCACUGCUAAAUAAAUACUCUCAGUAGAUAAGGCAGAUAAGAGUGUGAUUAGGGCAGUUUCAGCUGCUGUAAUCACAGUCGUACCUUCCUUAGCCUGCAGUCCCCACACUGCUCUACUCUGACCUUUCUUAAGCGAGCAAAUGUAAAUUUCAGAAUAAAUCACAGAACCUGAACCAAUGAAAUUUGGUUAUUAAUUAUAAUUGCAGUUAUGAAUCACAGUUGUCUCUGCUUCCAUUCUAGGGAAUUUGCCAUCGUGUAAGCAGAAUGUAAUUUACCCAAAUAUACAUUUUUUACCAUUUCAUGAAACUCUUAUGAUUCUGUUACGCCCUGAUUUAGAAACCAACUUUCACCUUGUUUUCUGCUUGUAAAGAUAAGCAGUUGUGUCUUUUAGCACAUAAAUAGUUGUGCAAUGCACGAGUGAGGAACUGCUUUCUUUCAUUUGCUCAUCAAACGUGCCAUCCUUCCAGUAGAAGCUCAGACCAUUAUCGUGGUUUACAGAGUUAUACAGGAAAGACAUGUUCUAGAGAAAGGCUGGUCAGAAUAGAUGAAAUAGCCCUACAAAAGCAAAUCAUAACAACCUGUAUCAGGCAGUGUCCUGGCAGUUUGUCAUAAUGACAGAAAUGAAGCAAUACCAACACUGUUACACAACCACGUUUGUGUUAUAAGAAAAUAACAGUACUGCACUGCGCUCUUACCUUUUAUCAGAGAAAUAGGAUUGCUCUUUGCCGUCUGCUUCUGGUUGUCCCGUGAUUCAAGACAGCAGUGGUGUCCAUGAAGAAAAGGGGAAAGAGACACAGGAGGAGGAAGUAGUGACCGAGGUCCUGUGGGGAAGCAGUGAGCAGAAUCUCGGCCUUCUGACUGUCCCACUCUGCCCUCGGGGCAACCAGACAGAAGUGGAAGACUGGCUUGCCCUCUGACUCAACAGCUCUUCCUUCCUCAGCAGCUGGCACGCUGGGCAGUUACAAAUAAGUGCCAGUGUGCCACUUGCAUCUGUGUCAGCUUCCCAAGGGGCUCUAGGUAGGCUUGUCUUCUGCUGGAGAAGGCCAGAUGGAAGGAUCUCUGCAAUGCAUUUCUUUGGGAGCGUUAUUAGAACUUGGAAAGAUUCUCUUUUUACCAUGUUACUUUCCUCUGAUUUCUUUCAUAAAUUGUGUAACUUGAGGACACCCAGAGAUUUGUGCCCUUCUCUGCGAGAGACUAACAACAAGCCUAUGACAUAUGUGCCAAAUGAACUUAUUUCUGAGGCAGCUGAUGUCUGAGAAGUGCUGGCAGUGUGUGUCCUUCCACCAGGUUCAGCAUGAAGCCUUGCAUCUUCAUCUGAGCAGCACCUCCAGUUCUGAUGUCCUCGUGCUUCUCUGCCUCCAACACCUGAGUGCUGUUUAGGUGGCUGUCAGCAAUUGUCCUGUUGUCAUACACCAAUGCUAGCAUGCACUGGAAGAGUACCAGUUCAUUCUUGGCCUGGAGGAAUAACUGAUGGAAGGAAACAGCACAGGAAGAGACUCUUGUCUUGGUUCUGGUCUUUGGAUGGAUGGAUACAGAGAGGCCUGUGGCACUGAGGGAUGAAAGGUGACAAACAGUGUGAAACCUGUCCCAAGAAACUCGUUGUAAUCAUGCAACCUUCAGGUGGUUUUCUUUCUCCCAAAAGAAGCUGCCAUGUGUCACUUGGCCCUCUAGCAGUUGUCGCUCGCCCUGUCUACUGGAUAGAAGUAUUAAACAAUUAUUUCUCUGCUUAGAAAGCUUAAUACAAUGUUGUAGCAGUGAGGCUACAACACUCUAUAUAUAUA